ACAUUUCCAUCAUUUUCCUUUCUCAGCCGAAAGGGCAAAAACCCAGGCCUUCUUCUGUCGCCUCACGCACUGCUGUAGACGGCCACCGAAAGGUCGAAAAUUUCCCCCUUUUGCUAGCGAAUCAAAAGAUACGACUCCUCUCCCUUCUACGAUAUAUUAUUUUGUAUUUCGUGAACUCAAAUGAAAAUGAAAAAACAGAAUAAAAUAAUUAUACACCACCUUGAAGUAUUCUUUUCACUGCUCUUGGAUUCUUUGUCUAUAUUUUGUAUUCCAAAAAAGAAUCUCCCCAACAAAUGAAAAUUCGUGGCCUUUUAUGGCCAACUUUACAACGGUUUCUUCGCUUCUACUAGUUGCAGGUAUGGUGAACGUGGGGCGUGGGUCAUGCUACACGCGAGUUGGCCAGACGUGCGAGGUGGAGAGCGUGGUGGCCGCAUUCGUGCGGCGCAUAGAGACCUAGGGUUUCCCGAAAACCCCAAAACUUUGGGCCUAUCAGGCCUUUAUUUUUGGACCCAAGUCUUUGUUUUUAGGAAUUGGACCUGUUAUAACUUAGGUUCGGACUAUUAUCUUUUGUCUAUUGUAUGUAUAUGGGCCCGGGCCAAAAUUAGGUCUUACAAUUUAUAUCAUAUUUUCUCCAUCACACACACCGAAAUAAAGAAUGAAAGAGUUGGAGUAUAAAUAAAGAAAUAAUGAAAAGAAGUUUCUGGCUCCACCGAACCAAAUUAGUAGUGGAACAUAUUUUUUUAGUUUAGAAAAUUUGGCAACAAGCAGUCUGCUUCAUUAUAAUUCUUUGUUCGGUGGAGUACUGUGAUAACAAAAAUAAAAAUAAAAAAUCAAAGGUUUCAAGAUGAAGAACUUUUAAGAGAAAAAAAAAAUAAUAAAAAAAUUAAGUACUCACUUGGAGGUAAAA
This 907-nucleotide long non-coding RNA is filed under the name Gossypium barbadense (sea-island cotton). Its description in RNAcentral is "long non-coding RNA (GBAR_LNC007623)". The record is from RNAcentral. Lineage: Eukaryota; Viridiplantae; Streptophyta; Magnoliopsida; Malvales; Malvaceae.